Molecule: long non-coding RNA, 614 nt
Organism: Zingiber officinale
Lineage: Eukaryota; Viridiplantae; Streptophyta; Magnoliopsida; Zingiberales; Zingiberaceae
Exons: 2
Source: RefSeq, a predicted model, not a curated record
UUCUUUCUUUCUGCCUCCUCUUGGUGUUGCAGGAAUUAAAGCAAUAAGCGAGGAAGAUGUACGCUCCGAUGGGGUUACAGGAGAUGUCUUACUUGGAGCACGUCCACAGGCGCCACCAUGAGAAAGGCUUCCUCUAUGCCUGUUUGUUUGCGUUGUGUUGCUGCUUCUGCUGCUUUGAGACCUGUGAGUGCUGCCUCGACUGCCUCUGCUGCUGCUGCUGCAACUAGGAAUUAAUCAAUCAAUGUCAGGGAACAGCAGCUGAUGGAAAAAUGAAUGCAAUCCAUUAUAUAUGGCAUUUAAUCCACAAUAAAACUUAUGGGCUCACUAUGUUUGUUGCGUUGUGUGCAACAGUAAAAUUUAGGUUUGAUAAACCUGAAGAAUUUAAUGAUAAAAAAAGAGAGAAAGAAGAAUUAGCAAGGAAAAUUUGCCUCGACUGCUUUGAAACCCCAAUACGAAUGAAAUAACUAGGAAGGGAACCUUGACAGGAAAGGGAUAAUUAUCUUACUCCUUCAGGGUAAUUUUAUUCUUCCAGUAUUCAAUGUGUUGGGACAACAAUUCUUUUUUGUGAUUAAAUUAAUUAUGAAUUAAAUUAGAUAUAUUUUUGAUGAUUUUUA